RNAcentral lists this ribosomal RNA (531 nucleotides) under Sundacypha petiolata. RNAcentral describes it as "partial 16S ribosomal RNA". It matches the Rfam family "Bacterial large subunit ribosomal RNA", at positions 1819 to 2619 of the family's 2925-position model. The record is from RNAcentral. Lineage: Eukaryota; Metazoa; Arthropoda; Insecta; Odonata; Chlorocyphidae.
GUCCUGUUGAUAAUUAUAACAGGUCUGACCUGCCCGGUGAUGAAUUUUAACGGCCGCAGUAUAUUGACUGUGCAAAGGUAGCAUAAUCAUUAGUCUUUUAAUAGGGGGCUGGAAUGAAUGGUUUGACGAAACAUCUACUGUCUCAUUUUUAUUUAUUGAAUUUAACUUUUAAGUUAAAAGGCUUAGAUUUUUUUGGAAGACGAGAAGACCCUAUAGAGCUUUAUUAACCUUAUUUUUAUUUUUUUUGGACUAAAGUUAUUUUAAUUUUAAGUUUAAUUUUGUUGGGGUGAUGGUAAAUAAAUAUUUAACUUUUAUUAUGUUUUUUACAUUUAUAUGUGGUUAAUUAGAUCCAUUUUUUUUGAUUUUUAGACUAAGUUACCUUAGGGAUAACAGCGUAAUCUUUCUUUUGAGUUCUUAUUUUCAGGAAGGUUUGCGACCUCGAUGUUGGAUUAAGAUUAUAGUUGGGUGUAGCCGCUUUUUCUAUAGGUCUGUUCGACCUUUAAAUUCUUACAUGAUCUGAGUUCAGACCGG